UACGGAGGGGGCAAGCGUUAUUCGGAAUUAUUGGGCGUAAAGGGCGCGUAGGCGGCUAGAUGUGUCAAAGGUGAAAUCCCUCGGCUCAACUGAGGAACUGCCUUUGAAACUGUCUGGCUUGAGUACUGGAGAGGUUGGUGGAAUUCUCGGUGUAGAGGUGAAAUUCGUAGAUAUCGAGAGGAACACCGGUGGCGAAGGCGGCCAACUGGACAGAUACUGACGCUGAGACACGAAAGCGUGGGUAGCAAACAGG
RNAcentral lists this ribosomal RNA (253 nucleotides) under uncultured bacterium. RNAcentral describes it as "partial 16S ribosomal RNA". It matches the Rfam family "Bacterial small subunit ribosomal RNA", at positions 524 to 776 of the family's 1533-position model. The record is from RNAcentral.